This 460-nucleotide ribosomal RNA is filed under the name uncultured bacterium. RNAcentral's name for it is "partial 16S ribosomal RNA". It matches the Rfam family "Bacterial small subunit ribosomal RNA", at positions 338 to 795 of the family's 1533-position model. The record is from RNAcentral.
CCUACGGGGGGCAGCAGUGAGGAAUAUUGGUCAAUGGACGCAAGUCUGAACCAGCCAUGCCGCGUGCAGGAAGCCGGCUCUAUGAGUUGUAAACUGCUUUUGUACGAGGGUAAACGCAGAUACGCGUAUCUGUCUGAAAGUAUCGUACGAAUAAGGCUCGGCUAACUCCGUGACAGCAGCAGCGGUAAUACGGAGGAUUCAAGCGUUAUCCGGAUUUAUUGGGUGUAAAGGGUGCGUAGGCGGUCGGAUAAGUUAGAGGUGAAAUCCCGAGGCUCAACUUCGGAAUUGCCUUUGAUACUGUUCGGAUAGAGAGUAGUUGCGGUAGGCGGAAUGUAUGGGGUAGCGGUGAAAUGCUUAGAGAUCAUACAGAACACCGAUUGCGAAGGCAGCUUACCAAGCUACUUCUGACGUUGAGGCACGAAAGCGUGGGGAGCAAACAGGAUUAGAUACCCUAGUAGUC